UAUUUCCUGGAAUGUGCGACACUCCUGUCAUUUUGAACCUACAACAUUUAUAAGGGAUUCCUAAUUUGUGAGAUUAUGUCAGGCCGCCGUUUGCAGCGGAAGACAGAGGCUUACAUGCGGAAACCCACCUAGCUUUUGCUAGGAGUCAAAAUACAGGAAACGGCGUUUCGGGGUAUUG
This is a non-coding RNA of Anaerocolumna xylanovorans DSM 12503, 178 nucleotides long. It matches the Rfam family "6S / SsrS RNA". Rfam says of the family: E. coli 6S RNA was the first non coding RNA to be sequenced, but its function was unknown until recently. NCBI's taxonomy places the organism in Bacteria, Bacillati, Bacillota, Clostridia, Lachnospirales, Lachnospiraceae. The record is from Rfam.